Molecule: ribosomal RNA, 1324 nt
Filed under: Xylaria sp. genotype 315
Lineage: Eukaryota; Fungi; Ascomycota; Sordariomycetes; Xylariales; Xylariaceae
Description: eukaryotic LSU rRNA
Rfam family: Eukaryotic large subunit ribosomal RNA (bases 739-1324)
Source: RNAcentral
GGAUCAUUAAAGAGUUUAAUAAAACUCCUAAACCCCUGUGAACUUACUGGUGUUUGGCUCGCCAGAUAUAGUCUGGUCCGUAAGCAAAUCGACUGCCUGCCUGUGUAACAGGCAGGUAAGCUUUUGUCGCGGGGUCCCGGAUCAACCCGGGCUAGAUAGCCACUUAACUAUAUACUUUUUAUAAAAUCUGUGAACUUACUAGGUUGGAUUCUCGCCAGAGAUAGUCUGGUUUCUGCUUCGCGGAUCGCCUACCCGUGACACCUGUCACAGGCAGGUAUGCUUCUGCCGCGGGUCCGUAAGUAAAUCAUCUGUUUCGCAAGGGACGGCGAUUUACCUGUGGAAGAGGUCCGCUAACUAUAUUCUUAGUAUAGUUUGUUCACUAGAUCAAACAUUCUGAAUAAAAACUUAAACUAGUUAAAAACUUUCAACAACGGAUCUCUUGGUUCUGGCAUCGAUGAAGAACGCAGCGAAAUGCGAUAAGUAAUGUGAAUUGCAGAAUUCAGUGAAUCAUCGAAUCUUUGAACGCACAUUGCGCCCAUUAGUAUUCUAGUGGGCAUGCCUGUUCGAGCGUCAUUUCAACCCUUAAGCCCCUGUUGCUUAGCGUUGGGAGCCUACAGCCUGCUGUAGCUCCUUAAAGGUAGUGGCGGAGUCGGUUCACACUCUAGACGUAGUAAAAUCUUUAUCUCGCCUAUGGAUGAGCCGGCGCCUUGCCAUAAAACCCCUAAUCUUUCACAAGGUUGACCUCGGAUCAGGUAGGAAUACCCGCUGAACUUAAGCAUAUCAAUAAGCGGAGGAAAAGAAACCAACAGGGAUUGCCCUAGUAACGGCGAGUGAAGCGGCAACAGCUCAAAUUUGAAAUCUGGCCUUCGGGUCCGAGUUGUAAUUUGCAGAGGAUGCUUUGGGCGCGGUGCCUUCCGAGUUCCCUGGAACGGGACGCCUUAGAGGGUGAGAGCCCCGUACGGUUGGACACCAAGCCUCUGUAAAGCUCCUUCGACGAGUCGAGUAGUUUGGGAAUGCUGCUCUAAAUGGGAGGUAAAUUUCUUCUAAAGCUAAAUAUUGGCCAGAGACCGAUAGCGCACAAGUAGAGUGAUCGAAAGAUGAAAAGCACUUUGAAAAGAGGGUUAAAUAGCACGUGAAAUUGUUGAAAGGGAAGCGUUUGCGACCAGACCUUUUCCCAGCGGAUCAUCCGGUGUUCUCACCGGUGCACUUCGCUGGGUUGAGGCCAGCAUCGGUUUCCGCAGGGGGAUAAAAGCCUGGGGAACGUAGCUCCCUCGGGAGUGUUAUAGCCCCUCGCAUAAUACCCUUGCGGGGACCGAGGACCGCG